GCCCAGACUCCUACGGGAGGCAGCAGUGAGGAAUAUUGGUCAAUGGGCGGGAGCCUGAACCAGCCAAGCCGCGUGAAGGAAGAAGGCGCCAAGCGUCGUAAACUUCUUUUGUCGGGGAACAAAGGGCGCCACGUGUGGCGUUGUGAGUGUACCCGAAGAAAAAGCAUCGGCUAACUCCGUGCCAGCAGCCGCGGUAAUACGGAGGAUGCGAGCGUUAUCCGGAUUUAUUGGGUUUAAAGGGUGCGUAGGCGGAUCGUUAAGUCGGUGGUCAAAUUGAGGGGCUCAACCCCUUCCCACCAUUGAAACUGGCGCUCUUGAGUGGAAGAGAAGUAUGCGGAAUGCGUGGUGUAGCGGUGAAAUGCAUAGAUAUCACGCAGAACCCCGAUUGCGAAGGCAGCAUGCCGGCUUCCGACUGACGCUGAAGCACGAAAGCGUGGGGAUCGAACAGGAUUAGAUACCCCUGUA
RNAcentral lists this ribosomal RNA (465 nucleotides) under uncultured bacterium. RNAcentral's name for it is "partial 16S ribosomal RNA". It matches the Rfam family "Bacterial small subunit ribosomal RNA", at positions 329 to 792 of the family's 1533-position model. The record is from RNAcentral.